Molecule: ribosomal RNA, 599 nt
Filed under: uncultured Ascomycota
Lineage: Eukaryota; Fungi; Ascomycota
Description: eukaryotic LSU rRNA
Rfam family: 5.8S ribosomal RNA (bases 220-373)
Source: RNAcentral
CUUGGUCAUUUAGAGGAAGUAAAAGUCGUAACAAGGUCUCCGUUGGUGAACCAGCGGAGGGAUCAUUACCGAGUUUACAACUCCCAAACCCCUGUGAACAUACCUUAAUGUUGCCUCGGCGGAUCAGCCCGCGCCCCGUAAAACGGGACGGCCCGCCAGAGGACCCAAACUCUAAUGUUUCUUAUUGUAACUUCUGAGUAAAACAAACAAAUAAAUCAAAACUUUCAACAACGGAUCUCUUGGUUCUGGCAUCGAUGAAGAACGCAGCAAAAUGCGAUAAGUAAUGUGAAUUGCAGAAUUCAGUGAAUCAUCGAAUCUUUGAACGCACAUUGCGCCCGCUGGUAUUCCGGCGGGCAUGCCUGUUCGGGCGUCAUUUCAACCCUCAAGCCCCCGGGUUUGGUGUUGGGGAUCGGCUCUGCCUCACGGCGGUGCCGCCCCCGAAAUACAUUGGCGGUCUCGCUGCAGCCUCCAUUGCGUAGUAGCUAACACCUCGCAACUGGAACGCGGCGCGGCCAUGCCGUAAAACCCCAACUUCCGAAUGUUGACCUCGGAUCAGGUAGGAAUACCCGCUGAACUUAAGCAUAUCAAUAAGCGGAGGA